GCCGAGAUAGCUCAGCUUGGUAGAGCACCGCACUGAAAAUGCGGGUGUCCCCAGUUCAAAUCUGGGUCUCGGCACCA
RNAcentral lists this transfer RNA (77 nucleotides) under Chloroflexota bacterium. RNAcentral describes it as "Chloroflexi bacterium tRNA-Phe". It matches the Rfam family "tRNA". From Rfam's summary of the family: Transfer RNA (tRNA) molecules are approximately 80 nucleotides in length. Their secondary structure includes four short double-helical elements and three loops (D, anti-codon, and T loops). Lineage: Bacteria; Bacillati; Chloroflexota. RNAcentral also lists the same sequence under 5 other names. The record is from RNAcentral.